UGAUGACAUUGUCUGAAAUUGCUGAACUACUUUGAUGAAAAUAUAUUUGAACUCUUCCCUCUGAUCACUGAGCAUUUUGAC
Molecule: small nucleolar RNA, 81 nt
Organism: Otolemur garnettii (small-eared galago)
Lineage: Eukaryota; Metazoa; Chordata; Mammalia; Primates; Galagidae
Source: Ensembl